GCUUUCUUGUGGCUCAGUUGGCAGAGCAUUGGGCAAACAAUGCAAAGAUUGUGGGUUCAAAUCCCCCGGAAAGCA
This is a non-coding RNA of Danionella cerebrum, 75 nucleotides long. The record is from the annotation of a GenBank genome assembly. NCBI's taxonomy places the organism in Eukaryota, Metazoa, Chordata, Actinopteri, Cypriniformes, Danionidae.